GUGCUUGCUUGGGCAGCACUUAUACUAAAAUUGGAACGAUGCAGGGAAGAUUAGCAUGGCCCCUGGGCAAGGAUGACAAACAAAUUUGUGAAGCAUUCCAUAUUUUU
This 107-nucleotide small nuclear RNA is filed under the name Myotis brandtii (Brandt's bat). The record is from RNAcentral. Lineage: Eukaryota; Metazoa; Chordata; Mammalia; Chiroptera; Vespertilionidae.